CCCCCACCACGCCCCCUACAUCAGGGACGUUGCUCUGGAUACGGUGAAGACGGGGAUGGGCGGAGCCACAGGUAACAAAGGGGGAUGGGCCAUCCGCAUGCUGUUCCAUACGACCAGUAUCUGUUUCGUCUGCUCCCACUUCGCUGCGGCCAAUCACAGGUCAAGGAGAGGAACGACGACUACAAACGAGAUCACACGCAAAACUCACCUUCCCCAUGGGUAGACUGCUCUACUCCCAUGACUACAUCUUCUGGUGUGGGACUUUAACUACCGCAUCAGUCAGCCAACGAGGAAGUCAAGGAGUUGAUCAGACAACAGAACUGGGAAGCCCUGACCGCCGGAGACCAACUGGUGGACCAGAAGAACCAGGGAUG
Molecule: long non-coding RNA, 374 nt
Organism: Salvelinus sp. IW2-2015
Lineage: Eukaryota; Metazoa; Chordata; Actinopteri; Salmoniformes; Salmonidae
Source: RefSeq, a predicted model, not a curated record